RNA transcript from Syngnathus typhle (broad-nosed pipefish), 2749 nucleotides. It is a transcript of the gene named deoxyribose-phosphate aldolase (putative), with no coding region annotated. The record is from RefSeq and is a predicted model, not a curated record. The transcript is spliced from 10 exons. NCBI's taxonomy places the organism in Eukaryota, Metazoa, Chordata, Actinopteri, Syngnathiformes, Syngnathidae.
GUUACUAUAUUUUACUGUAUAGGGAUUCUACUUCUGGUACACUCUAGAUCCAGGAAGUGAACACUGACAGCUUCGGUGGAAAGCAACAAAAACAUUUGCAUUUAAAAAUAUAGUUUGUCAUUAUGUCUGCUAGAAACCCGGGGACGCAACUUGAUCUGGAAUGGGUCUCCAAAGUGAGAGUGAACACACAAGCUGUACUUCGGAGAGCUCAAUCCAUCCAAGGACUGAAGCUCCCCAAGAAACAGUGGCAGGCCGCCUGGCUGCUGAAGGCCGUCACGUGUAUUGACCUGACGACUCUGGCCGGAGACGAUACGCCUUCCAACGUCCACCGACUGUGCAUGAAGGCCACCCAGCCCGUCCAAUAUGAGCUCCUCAAGAAAAUUGACAUGCAUGACAAAGGGGUAACAACCGGUGCAGUGUGCGUGUACCCGUCACGCGUGGCCGAUGCGGUCAAAUCGUUAAAAGCCGCCAACUCCAAUCUUCCGGUUGCGUCGGUGGCGACCGGUUUCCCGGCAGGUCAGACUCCACUGGAGACUCGUAUUAUGGAGGUUCGUAUGGCCGUAGCGGACGGCGCCACUGAGAUUGACAUCGUCAUCAACAGGACUCUAGCUCUCACUGGACAGUGGGAAGCCAUGUAUGAUGAGAUCGUUCAGUUCCGAGAGGCCUGCGGCGACGCUCACAUGAAGACCAUCCUGGCCAUCGGCGAACUAGGCACCUUCACCAACGUCUACAAAGCCAGUUUGGUCGCCAUGAUGGCCGGUUCUGACUUCAUCAAAACAUCCACGGGAAAGGAAUCCGUCAACGCCACUUACCCUGCCGCCAUAGUGAUGGUGAGGGCCAUACGUGAUUACUUCCUGCGUACGGGUCACAAGGUGGGCUUCAAGCCAGCGGGGGGCAUCCGGACAGCCAAGGAGUCUUUGGUGUGGCUUCUGCUGAUCAAAGAGGAGCUAGGCAACGACUGGCUUACUCCUCACCUCUUCCGUUUGGGAGCCAGCAGCCUCUUGGCUGACAUUGAGAGACAGAUUUAUCAUCACGUAACCGGACAAUAUGCUGCCUACCAUGAGCUUCCUAUGGCCUGAAGCUCUGGAGAUGCUCCAAAAGGACCUCAAGUUCACCACACAAGCCUGACAAUCUUGUUUUCUACCAGUCAAGGAUAUCUCAGAUCCACGAAAAAAAAAACAUUGUGUGAGAUGCGGACUCGGCGGCGAUGAUGGAGUGAGCUCGUAUGGCCGGCUUCUUGAUGGAUUAGCCGCACUUACAUAAAGGCAUGUAGAUCAUCUCAAAUCUGAACCAUCGGUCAGCGCGCUGCCACUUGAUAAGAUGGAGGCUGGAUCCUGCUUGAUUGAUUCCCUAGGCCAUCUACUCAGAUCCCUAUCACACACAUGGUUACACACACACACACACACACAAAACAGCCACGCCGUUUCACUUCAUUGGGUUCAAUUUGUUUUGUUGAGUGUGUGUGGAACAACGUUGAAAUAAGAGUGAGGAGCUUCAUUUAUUUGGCUUGUCUAAUUGUAAACAGUGCAGUGCUACCAUCUAGUGGCAGCUAUAGGUAAUUACAAAUAUUUGUCCAAUCCGUCUCUCUGUUGCUAUGUUAUUCUAAUCUGCCUGUUCAGAAUUAGAAGUGCUUGCUGAUAAAGUAUAAAAGCGUCGGAAGGGUUCAGCCAAUCAAAUUGUAGAAUGGGACCACAGCGUUUUGGUUUUGUUUGCAUUGCACCCCCGCCCCGCCCCCAGCAACCACCCACCAAGAGGUCGGUUUGGAUGAACACCCGGCAGGCCAGCGGUGAUCAAGUCCCUCACGCCUGACAAAUAGUCUUGCUCAGAUUGAUUGUUUUCCCCUUGUUUAAUUCAUCAGUGUUUCUUUAGCCCGCAGCGGCGGUGAAAAACGACACUUUCCCAGGCCCCGGCGUCCCACAUGUAGUUUAUGAUGAAGAAAAAAUGGCCGAGCAGCCCACGCCGUCAGUAAUGGCCCCACUAUCCAUUAUGAACGGCACUUUGGAUUUGUCAUGCUGUUUGCGCUGGAUGAGGAAUGAAUGUACAUGUUUUAAAGGGAAAAAAAUAGGUCUGGAUGCCGUCUUGCUAUUGGACGUCACGGCCACCGUGUGUGAAUGAGGUUUGAAGAAUUGGAAAUAAAAGAAAAUACGUUGAGAUUGAUUGAAAAAUACAGGGAUUGUUAUUUAAAAAUACAUUUGCAGUAAUACUAAAUUUAAUACAUAUAUGUAAGAUUAAGCAUGAACGAUGAACUACUCUAUUUUACUUUUCAUACUUCAUGCAGUGUUUUUUUAAAAACUAUUAUUUAAUAAAAAAUAUUUCAGAAAUAAAAAAAUACAAUUAAUUUGAUAGAAAAAAUAAAAGAUGAUUUUAAAUACAAAGAAUAAAAUAAAAAAAUGUGUUCAGUGUUUAGCAUUAUUUUGUUUUUUUUAGCGUUAAGUUUUUAAUGAGCUAUUUGAUUUAUUUUUAUUUUUAACCUUAUAUUGUUUACAUAUGUAGCACAUGAAAUAAAUUUAUUGUAAAUAAGAAAACACAUUGGUAAGAAAAAUGCAACAUUUUAACUUCAACAGUGAAAUUCAUGUUCACUGAUUUUUCCUGUUAUUCAUUAAACAGUAUGACUUUUUGUCAUUGAUUACUAAUUAAAAUCAUCUCAGGACGUAAAACAAGUACUCAACUGUGCAAACACAUUUUCCCAGUUGAAAGUCAUUUGUUGCAUGUUGCUUUGAUCACAAAAAUAAACUCGCCAUGACUUCUA